GGAAGAGGAGACUCUAUGCUUCAAGGAAAGAAACUGGCAUCGAAACAAAGAAAUGGCAAUUCUUAAAAUUUAGCUGAUUUUUGUGAUGAAUAUAUGGCUGAGUCACCUGUGAAGCUCUUCCAGUGCCUCUGACAAACUCUUGAAGAAGUGGGAUCAAGUAUUAAAGGAGUAACUGCCAGUAGAAUCUCUGAGAGCUGGAGUGCCUCAGAAAAUACUCCAGAGCCAAAAAGGUGAAAUUGGUGUCCUGUUAUUCAUAACCAAUUCCUUUCCACAUCGACUGGGUUUACGUUCAAGUGACUUUUGGGAUGUGCUAUCAAACUGGCUUCUUGCUACUCAAAAAUCAAUACUUGUGAGGUAAGUGUUGGUAGAAAGGAAAGCCAGCAAACCGGGGAAAAGAUAAACUCAAGUCUCCCAAAACCAACUCCAAAGAUUCUACCUGGCUAUGAAAGUUUUUAAAGGGAAAAGAGGAAGUAAUCUCAGAUAAUCAUUGAGUUGGGGGUUGGGUCAGAGUCAUCACUAUCUCCCACUGUGUGAAGGCUUGUCCACUCCUUGUGAUCUUGUGCUAGAUGCUAUCUUGUUUAUGUUUAUUCACAAGAUUACUAAAGAGGAGGCUAGGAAGAAAUAUGGUUAUCAGCUUAUCACUUAUUCAUUUUUACUUCUUUGCUCAAUGGAAAUGAGCAACAGCUUAGGCAAGGUAUUACAUGAUCAAAAUAUUUGAAAAGUAUGCUUGGGCCAGAGAUGAAUAGCACAUGGGGGUACCUGGUUUAAGAUUAAGAUACAGCUUUACUGUAGUGACAAUGCUAAGGAGCCUCCUUCAGAGAGCUCUUUCCUGCAAAAAGCUGAUUAUAAAAGCAGCAGAAUACA
Non-coding RNA from Sus scrofa (pig), 864 nucleotides. The record is from RefSeq and is a predicted model, not a curated record. Lineage: Eukaryota; Metazoa; Chordata; Mammalia; Artiodactyla; Suidae.